ACCAUUGAAGCCCGUCCUACCUUCCGGUAAUCCGCCCUUUCCGGUGCCAUUCCGUGGAGUUUGAGGAGCUUAACCCCCUUCCUGCUUUGCCUAUUCCUGCUCCUGGGUGUACUUGCCCCUGUGGUUGGUUAACCUCAAUUUCCGGCCACCAUAAAAUGACUGGAGGAAUGUAGCUUCCAUCUUGUAUUGAAGUGUUAUAGCCUUUGGUAGAUGUGGUGAUCGAGAUUGAGGAUUGCAACGGAUACCUUUCGGGGCUACCUGUCUGAUCUCUGAUCGUUGCUUUGGUGCUGAAAGCGUGCUUAUAGUUAUCAAAGUCGAUGGUCAAUAGGUUAGAAUGGGUUAAAUUCGUUAAGGAUGUUGACGUAA
RNAcentral lists this ribosomal RNA (366 nucleotides) under uncultured fungus. RNAcentral describes it as "LSU rRNA". The record is from RNAcentral. Lineage: Eukaryota; Fungi.